AGAAAUCCUCUCAUCUCUCUCAUGCCUUGAAUCUGCUGCCUAUUCUCCCUAUGACUAAAGCCAACUGGAUGCCAAGACACAAGAGCCUGGGAGGUUGAUACAGUGAUCAGCCUCUCAGGUACAGGAAGGGCAGUCAGUGGAUCCCAGAGGCAAAGGUCAGGAGAUCAAACAGCACACAAUCCAAACACCUGAGUACCUCCACUUCCAGGAAAUGUCAUUCUCCUUUGACAUUUGCCUUGUGUGAGCUGCACCCUGAGCUCUACCAGUCUACAUGAACCUAUUGGUCCUAGAGAGAGGCCAGUGUCAGCCACAUGUCUCAUAACCUCACCUGACCCAAUGGACACUCGUGAUGUAAUGGGAUAGAAUGCAAAUCAUCACAAACCCUUUCUAUCUCCAAUAUAGAAUCCAAAAGGUUCUGUAUCAACCCAUGAGCCAUGCAAAGUCCAGAGUGCUUUAUAGGAAAGAUGAGAGGACCAUGGCUAAGGGAUCCUGACACUCUGGGCCCAGAAUGACUCAGCCCUUCCCCCUUUCCCAUUGUCAGUCCAUCUAUCAUCCUAUUCUGUCUUCCUCCACCUUCAGUAAGCACCUCCUGGAACCUAUGUCAGCCUGGGCUCUGGGCUGACUGUGAUUAACUGAGCAGAUGCAUGCACAAAGCUGGUCACUCUUGCGGGGCUCCGAGAAGCAGCUGCAGUAAUUACAGGGAAUUUCUGGAAUGGAGACUAAUGGUGCGGGUUCAGAUCUAAAACGCUUUUGAUCCUCUUCAUCAUUAAAAGGCCAUUAAAGGUCUCAACUACCUUCUCCUAGCUACCAGCAAAGACUUCUUCUAUCCCAAAGACCUACUGUCAGGAACAUCUCAGAAAGUACAGUGAGAGCUACUUUGCAAUCUUGGAAAACUACAGGCAGCAAGAUCUGCCAGGUACUACCCCCUUAUGAAGAAAGGGAAGCAAGGAUGGGAGAGAAGAAGAAAGUGCAUAUGCUGAGCUGGGAGUGGACCCUGCGAGGCAUAGCUUCCAGUGGAUACUGGAAGACGAUGUAGGCAAGCAGAGACCAAGACUGGUGAGCCCAGGCACAUUUCCUAAGUCUAUCAACUCAGAAUCUUCACUUUUUCUUCCUGCCUAUAUGGUUUCUGCUCUGAUGAUGGUUAAGGUAAGAAGGGUAAGAAGCUGUUCCACAAUUUUUGAACAAUGGGGUAGGAGGUGAAAUAAUUUAAAAGCAUGGUUAAAAAGAUGUUCACCGGCAGAGUGAGUCUGGGUGAUCAAACUUCCAAUGAUUAGAUAUCUCAAAGAAAUGGAAUCUGGCUGCAAAAAUUUGGCUCUUUGAUGGAUAAGGAAGGCCAGGCUGUUUCAAAGCUGCAAGAACAAACUUCAGAAUCAGGCAGGCUCAAUGCAAGCCUUGAUCCCACUUAGCAACUAUUAAGCACUUGUCUUGCAUAUAAUUUAUCCCAGAGCUUCCUAGUCAUGAGUAGAUUGAGAGUGGGUUAUUAAACGUUUUUGGCUGUAUAUUUUUAUGACAGUUAAAGCAAUUUUAUAAUUCAAUAUUCCAUAAGACUGAAAUAUUUUUGAAUAGCAUAUGACAUAAU
Long non-coding RNA from Mus spicilegus (steppe mouse), 1579 nucleotides. Lineage: Eukaryota; Metazoa; Chordata; Mammalia; Rodentia; Muridae. The record is from Ensembl.